GUUUAGGUAGUUUAAUUUAAAAAUAAUGAUUUGUGGUAUCAUUGACGCAUAUAUAUUGGUGAUUUAUGCCCUAAACU
Molecule: transfer RNA, 77 nt
Filed under: Trachelus iudaicus
Lineage: Eukaryota; Metazoa; Arthropoda; Insecta; Hymenoptera; Cephidae
Description: tRNA-His
Source: RNAcentral